This is a non-coding RNA of Myxozyma melibiosi, 115 nucleotides long. The record is from the annotation of a RefSeq genome assembly. Lineage: Eukaryota; Fungi; Ascomycota; Lipomycetes; Lipomycetales; Lipomycetaceae.
GGCACUAUGGCCGAGUGGUUAAGGCGAAAGACUCGAAUUCCAUUCAGCUUGCGCUGAUUCAAAAUCCGAUAUCUUUUCUCGUUUCGAGGCGCAGGUUCGAGUCCUGCUGGUGUCG